Molecule: ribosomal RNA, 432 nt
Filed under: uncultured bacterium
Lineage: Bacteria
Description: partial 16S ribosomal RNA
Rfam family: Bacterial small subunit ribosomal RNA
Source: RNAcentral
ACGAACGCUGGCGGCAUGCCUCACACAUGCAAGUCGAACGAAGCCUUCGGGCUUAGUGGCGCACGGGUGCGUAACGCGUGGGAAUCUGCCCCUUGCUUCGGAAUAACAGUUAGAAAUGACUGCUAAUACCGGAUGAAGUCUUCGGACCAAAGAUCUAUCGGCAAGGGAUGAGCCCGCGUAGGAUUAGGUAGUUGGUGGGGUAAAGGCCUACCAAGCCGACGAUCCUUAGCUGGUCUGAGAGGAUGAUCAGCCACACUGGGACUGAGACACGGCCCAGACUCCUACGGGAGGCAGCAGUGGGGAAUAUUGGACAAUGGACGCAAGUCUGAUCCAGCAAUGCCGCGUGAGUGAUGAAGGCCUUAGGGUUGUAAAGCUCUUUUACCAGGGAUGAUAAUGACAGUACCUGGAGAAUAAGCUCCGGCUAACUCCGUG